RNAcentral lists this unclassified non-coding RNA (475 nucleotides) under Hevea brasiliensis (rubber tree). The record is from RNAcentral. Lineage: Eukaryota; Viridiplantae; Streptophyta; Magnoliopsida; Malpighiales; Euphorbiaceae.
GUGGACAAGGAGGCUUUGGCGGUGAAAAAAAAGGUGCACAGGGCGGAGAUGGAGAAGAAGAUCUUGAAAAUGCUAGACCAUCCAUUCUUGCCCACUUUAUACGCAGAGUUUGAGGCGUCGCAUUUCUCUUGCAUUGUAAUGGAGUACUGUUCCGGUGGUGACUUGCAUUCGUUGAGACAUAAGCAGCCUCAAAAACGCUUCUCUCUUAGCUCUGCAAGGUUUUAUACAGCGGAGGUUCUUGUGGCUUUGGAAUACCUUCACAUGCUAGGUAUCAUCUACAGAGACCUAAAACCUGAAAACGUUUUAGUCAGAUCGGAUGGUCACAUCAUGCUCUCAGAUUUUGACCUCUCAUUAUGCUCAGAAGCCAUCCCAGCUGUUGAAUCUCCAUCCUUCUCUCCGGACUCUACUUCUCUAUCUGCGUUGCCCUACACCCGAUCACACUCCAGCAAAACCUUCUCAUGCCUCCUCAACCGGC